Molecule: ribosomal RNA, 876 nt
Filed under: Chondrina kobelti
Lineage: Eukaryota; Metazoa; Mollusca; Gastropoda; Stylommatophora; Chondrinidae
Description: partial large subunit ribosomal RNA
Source: RNAcentral
UAAACAAUAAUAAUUUUUAUAUAAAAUUUCCCGAAAUAAAAAGAUCUAAAAAGUUAUGAGGUGUAGUAACUAAAGUUAAAUGUGUGGCAUAAUAUAACUUUAACAACUUUUUAGUGGAGAAAUUCCGACAGUUUUUAUGAUAACUGGAUUAGGGGGAAAAGUAUUAAGUACUAAAGACAAUUAUAAAGUGAUAAGAUUUUAUAAUGAAAAAAUAAGAUGUUAUUAAUAGUGCCAGGGUUAACCCCCUAAAUGUUUAUUGUACAAUAUCAUUUUUUAAAUAUAUCUUUUUAUUAUUAGCCCUUAACUUUGGAUAAUUAGUAGACCAUAGUUUAUAAUGUUUAAAUUAGUAUCUCUUCUUAUAAUUUUUAUUAAGGAAUUCGGCAAAUUUUUUAUUCGACUGUUUAUCAAAAACAUAGUCCGUUGGUUUUUUUAAUGGAUAUUGACUGCCCGGUGAUAUAUUUAACGGCCGCAGUACCUUGACUGUGCGAAGGUAGCAUAAUAAUUUGGCCUUUAAAUGGGGUCUAGGAUGAAUGGAUUUACGAAUAGCAGCUGUCUCAAAUUUUAAUUAAAAAAAACUUACUUAAAAGGUGAAAAUUCCUUUGUGUAUAUAUAAUAGACGAGAAGACCCUUAGAAUUUAGUUUAAAGUAGGAUGGUAUUCUUAUUUUAAUUUUGUUGGGGCAACAAAGUAGCAGUAAAAUCCACUUCUUUAUUAUAAUUAAUGGGCCGACUAUUUGUAUGAAAAUAUAAAUUACCUUAGGGAUAACAGCAUAAUUUAAUAAAGAUUGUGACCUCGAUGUUGGAUUAGGGCCAUAAUAAUUAAGUCAAUUAAUGUGAUAGUUCUGUUCGAACUUUGUAACCUACAUGAUCUGAGUUCA